This is a long non-coding RNA of Megalobrama amblycephala (Wuchang bream), 1394 nucleotides long. RefSeq lists it as uncharacterized. Lineage: Eukaryota; Metazoa; Chordata; Actinopteri; Cypriniformes; Xenocyprididae. The record is from RefSeq and is a predicted model, not a curated record. The transcript has 4 exons.
GGCUUUUCUCUCUGUCACGGCUGAGUAUUGUUUAGCGUGAAUGCUGUUUUAAUGUAGCUACUUUACAGAGCCAGUUCCCCGUCCUAGUUAAUAUUUCUAGUUCUUGUCUAAGUCUAGUCACGUCUUGUUUCCUGAUUAUCCGUCUGUCUUGGAUUUCUCUCGUCUUGUCGCACUGGAUUCUCUUGGAUUUAUGAUCUGUCUAUGAAUGUCCCGUUUGCCUCAACCUUUGGAUUACGUUCGCCGUUGAUCGAUCUACGCCUGUUUGUCGGAUUACUCUUCUGUCUUGCCCUCUAUAUACCUCUUGAUGUUGGUCACUAUUACAUGAAGAAGUGCGAGCGGAACAAAAUUCUCCUUUUGUGAUCAGCAUACGGCAUUAGAACAACACCAGGAUGUUUGCUAUAUAAGCUGUCCGUCACAGUGAGGCCGAUGGAGUGAUGUCAGACCGACACCGGUGCCGCUGCAAUAAUGAUUGAGGUGUUGACGUGGAGAACAGAGGAGAGAGAGAGAUUGUGUGUUUCAUUUGUCAGAGGCUGUUGAGGGGCUAAACACUGGAGCGAACAGCAGAGAUCCAUCUCUAUCAAACACACACACACAGAAACUUCAGUGUCUUCAGAUCAUCAGAUCCAGAGCUCCUUCAUCAGACAGACGCAGCUGAGGAAGAUGUGGAUGCACAACACCAACAGCUGUCAAGGGUUAAAAUGACUCCAGAGAAAGUCUGGCAAGAAACAAUUGGAAAAGGAGACGAGAAACUGGAUAUUCAUAGAGCACUUUCAAGAAGGAACGUCAGUGAAAUGUCAGAGCGAGCGGAAGAGAAAGCCUUUAAAGCAAGAAAAGAUGGAGAGGUGAAAAGGUGAAACCAUAAAAGAAUUAGGAACAGAUAUGGAAGCGCUGAGAUUGACUGGAGCACAUAAAGAUAGCCAAAAUCCUCAUUCCCCUUUAGGAAAUCUGAUCCAGCUCGGCAGUUUGUCAUUUAUUUAUUUAUUUAUUUUUUCCGUCUGACAUUUGGGAAAAUGACUUCAAACGGUAAAUAUGUGAAUUAUUUCCCAGAAGAUUGCAGCAGAAGAACUGCUUUAACAUUCAAAUGGACUUUUAAAUAUCACUGUGUAAUUAUUGAUGAAGAUCAGUCAGUCAUCAUCGCUGGAAUGAAGGUCCGCUGCGUUUAUCAGACUCAUGGUGUUUGUGUGAUACAGACUUCAUCAGCCUCACUGUGAAUGAGAGCCUCUUUCCUGAAGGAUGCAGAAUAUUUUCACACUCGGAAAGUUCAUGAGGGAAAUAUGAGAUGAUUUAGUGACGUAAUGACUGUCCCUGUUAAGAAAAAUGUGUUUUGCUAUUAAAGGGUUAGUUCACCCAAAAAUGAAAUUUCUGUUAUUAAUUACUCUCCCUCAUGUCGUUCC